GUAGGGUGCGAGCGUUAAUCGGAAUUAUUGGGCGUAAAGCGAGUGUAGACGGUUAUUUAAGCCAGAUGUGAAAUACCCGAGCCUAACUUGGGAGGUGCAUAUGGAACUGGGUAGCUAGAGUGUGUCAGAGGGAGGUAGAACUCCACGUGUAGCAGUGAAAUGCGUAGAGAUGUGGAAGAAUACCGAUGGCGAAGGCAGUCUCCUGGGAUAACACUGACGUUGAGGCUCGAAAGCGUGGGGGGGAGCAAACAGGAUUAGAUACCCUGGUAGUCCACGCCCUAAACGAUGACAAUUAGCUGUUGGCCCCAUUAAGGGGGUGAGUAGCGGAGCUAACGCGUGAAAUUGUCCCGCCUGGGAGUACGGUCGCAAGAUUA
RNAcentral lists this ribosomal RNA (374 nucleotides) under uncultured organism. RNAcentral describes it as "partial 16S ribosomal RNA". It matches the Rfam family "Bacterial small subunit ribosomal RNA", at positions 527 to 896 of the family's 1533-position model. The record is from RNAcentral.